GGGUUGUGAGGUUAAGCGACUAAGCGUACACGGUGGAUGCCCUGGCAGUCAGAGGCGAUGAAGGACGUGCUAAUCUGCGAUAAGCGUCGGUAAGGUGAUAUGAACCGUUAUAACCGGCGAUUUCCGAAUGGGGAAACCCAGUGUGAUUCGUCACACUAUCAUUAACUGAAUCCAUAGGUUAAUGAGGCGAACCGGGGGAACUGAAACAUCUAAGUACCCCGAGGAAAAGAAAUCAACCGAGAUUCCCCCAGUAGCGGCGAGCGAACGGGGAGCAGCCCAGAGCCUGAAUCAGUGUGUGUGUUAGUGGAAGCGUCUGGAAAGGCGUGCGAUACAGGGUGACAGCCCCGUACACAAAAAUGCACAUAUUGUGAGCUCGAUGAGUAGGGCGGGACACGUGGUAUCCUGUCUGAAUAUGGGGGGACCAUCCUCCAAGGCUAAAUACUCCUGACUGACCGAUAGUGAACCAGUACCGUGAGGGAAAGGCGAAAAGAACCCCGGCGAGGGGAGUGAAAAAGAACCUGAAACCGUGUACGUACAAGCAGUGGGAGCACGCUUAGGCGUGUGACUGCGUACCUUUUGUAUAAUGGGUCAGCGACUUAUAUUCUGUAGCAAGGUUAACCGAAUAGGGGAGCCGAAGGGAAACCGAGUCUUAACUGGGCGUUAAGUUGCAGGGUAUAGACCCGAAACCCGGUGAUCUAGCCAUGGGCAGGUUGAAGGUUGGGUAACACUAACUGGAGGACCGAACCGACUAAUGUUGAAAAAUUAGCGGAUGACUUGUGGCUGGGGGUGAAAGGCCAAUCAAACCGGGAGAUAGCUGGUUCUCCCCGAAAGCUAUUUAGGUAGCGCCUCGUGAAUUCAUCUCCGGGGGUAGAGCACUGUUUCGGCAAGGGGGUCAUCCCGACUUACCAACCCGAUGCAAACUGCGAAUACCGGAGAAUGUUAUCACGGGAGACACACGGCGGGUGCUAACGUCCGUCGUGAAGAGGGAAACAACCCAGACCGCCAGCUAAGGUCCCAAAGUCAUGGUUAAGUGGGAAACGAUGUGGGAAGGCCCAGACAGCCAGGAUGUUGGCUUAGAAGCAGCCAUCAUUUAAAGAAAGCGUAAUAGCUCACUGGUCGAGUCGGCCUGCGCGGAAGAUGUAACGGGGCUAAACCAUGCACCGAAGCUGCGGCAGCGACGCUUAUGCGUUGUUGGGUAGGGGAGCGUUCUGUAAGCCUGCGAAGGUGUGCUGUGAGGCAUGCUGGAGGUAUCAGAAGUGCGAAUGCUGACAUAAGUAACGAUAAAGCGGGUGAAAAGCCCGCUCGCCGGAAGACCAAGGGUUCCUGUCCAACGUUAAUCGGGGCAGGGUGAGUCGACCCCUAAGGCGAGGCCGAAAGGCGUAGUCGAUGGGAAACAGGUUAAUAUUCCUGUACUUGGUGUUACUGCGAAGGGGGGACGGAGAAGGCUAUGUUGGCCGGGCGACGGUUGUCCCGGUUUAAGCGUGUAGGCUGGUUUUCCAGGCAAAUCCGGAAAAUCAAGGCUGAGGCGUGAUGACGAGGCACUACGGUGCUGAAGCAACAAAUGCCCUGCUUCCAGGAAAAGCCUCUAAGCAUCAGGUAACAUCAAAUCGUACCCCAAACCGACACAGGUGGUCAGGUAGAGAAUACCAAGGCGCUUGAGAGAACUCGGGUGAAGGAACUAGGCAAAAUGGUGCCGUAACUUCGGGAGAAGGCACGCUGAUAUGUAGGUGAAGUCCCUCGCGGAUGGAGCUGAAAUCAGUCGAAGAUACCAGCUGGCUGCAACUGUUUAUUAAAAACACAGCACUGUGCAAACACGAAAGUGGACGUAUACGGUGUGACGCCUGCCCGGUGCCGGAAGGUUAAUUGAUGGGGUUAGCGCAAGCGAAGCUCUUGAUCGAAGCCCCGGUAAACGGCGGCCGUAACUAUAACGGUCCUAAGGUAGCGAAAUUCCUUGUCGGGUAAGUUCCGACCUGCACGAAUGGCGUAAUGAUGGCCAGGCUGUCUCCACCCGAGACUCAGUGAAAUUGAACUCGCUGUGAAGAUGCAGUGUACCCGCGGCAAGACGGAAAGACCCCGUGAACCUUUACUAUAGCUUGACACUGAACAUUGAGCCUUGAUGUGUAGGAUAGGUGGGAGGCUUUGAAGUGUGGACGCCAGUCUGCAUGGAGCCGACCUUGAAAUACCACCCUUUAAUGUUUGAUGUUCUAACGUUGACCCGUGAUCCGGGUUGCGGACAGUGUCUGGUGGGUAGUUUGACUGGGGCGGUCUCCUCCUAAAGAGUAACGGAGGAGCACGAAGGUUGGCUAAUCCUGGUCGGACAUCAGGAGGUUAGUGCAAUGGCAUAAGCCAGCUUGACUGCGAGCGUGACGGCGCGAGCAGGUGCGAAAGCAGGUCAUAGUGAUCCGGUGGUUCUGAAUGGAAGGGCCAUCGCUCAACGGAUAAAAGGUACUCCGGGGAUAACAGGCUGAUACCGCCCAAGAGUUCAUAUCGACGGCGGUGUUUGGCACCUCGAUGUCGGCUCAUCACAUCCUGGGGCUGAAGUAGGUCCCAAGGGUAUGGCUGUUCGCCAUUUAAAGUGGUACGCGAGCUGGGUUUAGAACGUCGUGAGACAGUUCGGUCCCUAUCUGCCGUGGGCGCUGGAGAACUGAGGGGGGCUGCUCCUAGUACGAGAGGACCGGAGUGGACGCAUCACUGGUGUUCGGGUUGUCAUGCCAAUGGCACUGCCCGGUAGCUAAAUGCGGAAGAGAUAAGUGCUGAAAGCAUCUAAGCACGAAACUUGCCCCGAGAUGAGUUCUCCCUGACUCCUUGAGAGUCCUGAAGGAACGUUGAAGACGACGACGUUGAUAGGCCGGGUGUGUAAGCGCAGCGAUGCGUUGAGCUAACCGGUACUAAUGAACCGUGAGGCUUAACCUUACAACGCCGAAGCUGUU
This 2930-nucleotide ribosomal RNA is filed under the name Escherichia coli. RNAcentral describes it as "23S ribosomal RNA". It matches the Rfam family "Bacterial large subunit ribosomal RNA". Lineage: Bacteria; Pseudomonadati; Pseudomonadota; Gammaproteobacteria; Enterobacterales; Enterobacteriaceae. The record is from RNAcentral.